RNAcentral lists this ribosomal RNA (253 nucleotides) under uncultured bacterium. RNAcentral describes it as "partial 16S ribosomal RNA". It matches the Rfam family "Bacterial small subunit ribosomal RNA", at positions 524 to 776 of the family's 1533-position model. The record is from RNAcentral.
UACGGAGGAGGCAAGCGUUAUCCGGAAUUAUUGGGCGUAAAGCGUCCGUAGGUGGUUGGCCAAGUCUGCUGUCAAAGGGUGGGGCCUAAACUCAUAAAGGCAGUGGAAACUGGCGAGCUAGAGUGCGGUAGGGGUAGGGGGAAUUCCCAGUGUAGCGGUGAAAUGCGUAGAGAUUGGGAAGAACAUCGGUGGCGAAAGCGCCCUGGUGGGCCUGCACUAACACUGAGGAACGAAAGCUAGGGGUGCGAAAGGG